This 723-nucleotide ribosomal RNA is filed under the name uncultured Staphylococcus sp. RNAcentral describes it as "bacterial SSU rRNA". It matches the Rfam family "Bacterial small subunit ribosomal RNA", at positions 61 to 766 of the family's 1533-position model. The record is from RNAcentral. Lineage: Bacteria; Bacillati; Bacillota; Bacilli; Caryophanales; Staphylococcaceae.
GUCGAGCGAACGGACGAGAAGCUUGCUUCUCUGAUGUUAGCGGCGGACGGGUGAGUAACACGUGGAUAACCUACCUAUAAGACUGGGAUAACUUCGGGAAACCGGAGCUAAUACCGGAUAAUAUUUUGAACCGCAUGGUUCAAAAGUGAAAGACGGUCUUGCUGUCACUUAUAGAUGGAUCCGCGCUGCAUUAGCUAGUUGGUAAGGUAACGGCUUACCAAGGCAACGAUGCAUAGCCGACCUGAGAGGGUGAUCGGCCACACUGGAACUGAGACACGGUCCAGACUCCUACGGGAGGCAGCAGUAGGGAAUCUUCCGCAAUGGGCGAAAGCCUGACGGAGCAACGCCGCGUGAGUGAUGAAGGUCUUCGGAUCGUAAAACUCUGUUAUUAGGGAAGAACAUAUGUGUAAGUAACUGUGCACAUCUUGACGGUACCUAAUCAGAAAGCCACGGCUAACUACGUGCCAGCAGCCGCGGUAAUACGUAGGUGGCAAGCGUUAUCCGGAAUUAUUGGGCGUAAAGCGCGCGUAGGCGGUUUUUUAAGUCUGAUGUGAAAGCCCACGGCUCAACCGUGGAGGGUCAUUGGAAACUGGAAAACUUGAGUGCAGAAGAGGAAAGUGGAAUUCCAUGUGUAGCGGUGAAAUGCGCAGAGAUAUGGAGGAACACCAGUGGCGAAGGCGACUUUCUGGUCUGUAACUGACGCUGAUGUGCGAAAGCGUGGGG